This 2929-nucleotide long non-coding RNA is filed under the name Hordeum vulgare. RNAcentral describes it as "long non-coding RNA (HVUL_LNC014830)". Lineage: Eukaryota; Viridiplantae; Streptophyta; Magnoliopsida; Poales; Poaceae. The record is from RNAcentral.
GAUCUCGUUGAUUGCUUCAGUUUUCUUGGCUUCAGUCUCCUUCACCUCUUCUGCCGACAGCUCAUUUGCUGAUAUGUUUUCUUCCACUUCAAUAGGUUCAGUAUUCUUGAUUUCUUCUAGGUCUAGCUCUUGUGCUCGUGGGAUAUCAACUGGUGCCUCAGUUGCUAUUACAUGCUCUUCAGGAGCAGCCUCAUCUGCAGGAGCAACAUUGCUUGUCACAUCCUCAGUGAGUUCGCUGAUGUUUGCAUCAGGGCUCUUGUUGAUUGCUUCAGUUUCCUUCACCACUUCUGCUUGCAGGCCACUUGCUGAUCUAUUUUCUUCCACCUCAACUGGUUCAACACUCUUGAUCUCUUCUAGUUCCGGCUCCUGUGCCUGUGGUAUAUCAAAUGUUGUCUCAGCUACUGUUACAUGCUCUGCAUGAGGUUCCUCGUCUGCAGGCACAACGUUGCUUUUCACAUCCUCAUUGAGCUCACUGAUGUUUGCAUCAGUCCUUUUGCUGAUUGCUUCAGUUUCCUUCACCUCUUCUUCUGGCAGGUCACCUGCUUCAGUAUUCUUGAUCUCUUCUAGCUCUGGCUCUUGUGCAUGUGGUAUAUCGACUGUUGUCUCAGCUACUGUUACAUGUUCUUUAUGAGCUGCCUCAUCUGUAAGAGCAAUGUUGCAUUUCAUAUCUUCAGUAAGCUCACUGAUGUUUGCAUCAGUGCUCUCAUUGAUUGCUUCAGUGUCCUUCACCUCUUCUGCCGGUAUGUCACUCGCUGAUGUGUUUUCUUCCACCUCAACAGGUUCAGUAUUCUCGAUCUCUUCUAGUUCUGGUUCUUGUGCUCGUGGAAUAUUAACUGUUCCCUCAGUUGCUAUUAUAUGCUCUUCAUGAGCUGCCUCGUCUGCAGGAUUGACACUGCUUGUCACAUCCUCAAUGAGCUCGCUGAUGUUUGCAUCAAUGCUCUCGUUGAUUGCUUCAGUUUCCUUCACCUCUUCUGCUGGCAAGUUACCUGCUGAUCUGUUCUCCUCCACCUCAACAGGUUCAACAUUCUCAAGAUCCUUUAGUUCCGGCGCUUGUGCUUGUGGUAUAUCAACCGUUGCCUCAGCUGCUAUUACAUGUUCUUCAGGAGCUGCCUCUUCUGCAGGAGUAACAUUGCUUUUCAUAUCCUCAGUGAGCUCACUAAUGCUUGCAUCAGUGCUCUCAUUGAUUGCUUCAGUGUCCUUCACCUUUUCUGCUGGCAGGUCACUUGCUGGUAUGUUUUCUUCCACCUUAACAGGUCUAGUAUUCUGGAUCUCUUCUACUUCUGGCUCUUGUGCUUGUGGUAUAUCGACUGUAUUAUCAGCUACCGUUACAUGUUCUUCAGGAGCUGCCUCGUCUGCAAGAGCAACAUUGCUUUUCACAUCUUCAGUAAGCUCAUUGUUGUUUGCAUCAGUGCUCUCGUUGAUUGCUUCAGUCUCCACGGCUUCACUAUCUUUCACCUCUUCUGCUGGCAGAUCAUUUUCUGAUACAUAUGCUUCCACUUCAGCAGGUUCAGUGUUCUUGGUCUCUUCUAGUUCUGGCUCUUGUGUUCGUGGUAUAUCAACUGUUGCGGCAGUUGCUAUUACAUGUUCUUCAGGAGCUGCCUCGUCUGCACACACGAGAUUGCUUUUCACAUCCUCAGUAAGCUUACUGAUGUUUGCAUCAAUGCUCUCGUUGAAUGCUUCAGUUUCCUUGGCUUCAGUGUCCUUCAUCUCUUCUGCCGGCAUGUCACUAGCUGAUAUGUUUUCUUUCACUUCAACAGGUUCAAUAUUCUUGAUCUCUUCUAGUUCCGGCUCUUGUGCUUGUGCUAUAUCAACUGUUGCCUCAGUUGCUAUUACAUGUUCUUCAGGAGCAGCCUCGUCUGCAAGAGCAACGUUACUUUCCACAUCCUCAGCGAUCUCACUGAAGUUUGCAUCAGUGCUCCCAUUGGUUGCUUCAGUUUCCUUGGCUUCAUUGCCGUUCACCUCUUCUGCCGGCAGGUCACUCGCUGAUAUGUUUUCUUCCACCUCAACAGGUUCAGUAUUCUUGAUCUCUUCUACUUCUGGCUCUUGUGCAUGUGGUAUAUCAACUGUAUCAUCAGCUACUGUUACAUGUUCUUCAGGAGCUGCUUCGUCUGCAAGAGCAACAAUGUUUUUCACAUCUUCAGUGAGCUCACUGUUGUUUGUGUUAGUGCUCUCGUUGAUUGUUUCAGUCUCCAUGGCUUCAGUAUCCUUCACCUCUUCUGCUGGCAGAUCAUUUGCUGAUAUGUUUUCUGCCACUUCAGCAGGUUCAGUAUUCUUGGUCUCUUCUAGUUCUGGCUCUUGUGCUUCUGGUAUAUCAACUGUUGCCUCAGGUGCCAUUACAUGCUCUUCAGGAGCUACCUCCUCUGUAAGGGCAACAUUGUUUUGCACAUCUUCAAUGAGAUCGCUAAUGUUUGCGUCACUGCUCUCAUUGUUUGCUUCAGUUUCCCCCAUCUCUUCUGCAGGCAGGUCGCUUGCUGAUCUAGUUUCUUCCACCUCAACAGGUUCAGUAUUCUUGACCUCUUCUAGUUUCGGCUCUUGUGCUUGUGGUACAUCAACUGUUCUCUCAGCUACUGUUACAUGUUCAUCAUGAGCUGCCUCGUCUGUAAGAGAAACAUUGCUUUGCACAUCUUCAGUGAGCUCACUGUUGUUUGCAUCAGUGCUGUCGUUGAUUGCUUCUGUUUCCACGGUGUCAGUAUCCUUCACAUUUUUCGCUGGCAGAUCACUUGCUGAUGUGUUCCCUUCCACUUCAGCAGGUUCACUAUUCUUGAUCUCUUCUAGGUUUGGCUCUUGCGGUUGUGGUAUAGCACCAGUUGCUUCUGUUGCUUUUGCAUGUUCAUCAGGAGCUGCCUCAUCUGCAAGAGCAAUAUUGCUUUUCACAUCAUUGAUGAGCUCGCUGAUGUUUCCACCAGUACUCUCAUGAGGGAUCAUCUCA